CCUACGGGAGGCAGCAGUGAGGAAUAUUGGUCAAUGGCCGUAAGCCUGAACCAGCCAAGUCGCGUGAAGGAAGAAGGAUCUAUGGUUUGUAAACUUCUUUUAUAGGGGAAUAAAGGUAUCCACGUGUGGAUAUUUGCAUGUACCCUAUGAAUAAGCAUCGGCUAACUCCGUGCCAGCAGCCGCGGUAAUACGGAGGAUGCGAGCGUUAUCCGGAUUUAUUGGGUUUAAAGGGUGCGUAGGUUGUUUUUUAAGUCAGCGGUGAAAGUUUGUGGCUCAACCAUAAAAUUGCCGUUGAAACUGGAAGACUUGAGUGUGUUUGAGGUAGGCGGAAUGCGUGGUGUAGCGGUGAAAUGCAUAGAUAUCACGCAGAACUCCGAUUGCGAAGGCAGCUUACUAAGCCAUAACUGACGCUGAGGCACGAAAGCGUGGGGAUCAAACAGGAUUAGAUACCCCAGUAGUC
Molecule: ribosomal RNA, 460 nt
Filed under: uncultured bacterium
Lineage: Bacteria
Description: partial 16S ribosomal RNA
Rfam family: Bacterial small subunit ribosomal RNA
Source: RNAcentral